AAAAAUAGGCGCAGCUCGCAGUUGCGCCAAUUUUAAGCAAAGUAGCAAACCCUAAUCCAACGGUUAUAUCAAAGCGCCGACCUUCGCGGUGCGGUUUAUGCUGCUUCGUUGAGUGGGUUUAGUCCUGUGGUCCCAUCAUAUCGGUCUGGUUCGCUAUACUCUGAACGUCAUCUUCUUCUGCUCGGAGCUGGCCAGAGGUGCUGAAGGAGCACGGCGAGCAAUUGGCCGACCGGCACAGUAGCCGAUCCGCCAAGUUUAGCAGAGACAGCAAAUAUCGGCGAUUAUGGGCGUCACUACGUGAAGGUGAGGAAGGUCUUCACGCUCGAUCUUUUUUCUCCUAAGCGCCUUGAAGCCUUGAGACCCAUUCGAGAGGACGAGGUCACCGCCAUGGUUGACUCCGUCUUCAAGUGAAAUCACUAGAAUCGAUGCAUUAUGAUCCGCUACGAAAGUCGAUCUGGUAGCUUCCUCCUGGUACUCAACAACUAGAGUUGUAAUUGGGCUGGAUUUUGUUCCUUCAUACGCAAAAGCAUCUUUAUUUCAGCAACCAAUUGGGGAAGAUAGUGAUGAGGAACUGGCAUUCAAAUUCCAUAAUUAGUGGCUGUGAUGAGCACUGGGUGCUCUCUGCAGAAACGAAGCUGUUGUGAAUUUUAGCAUAUGGCAAAACAUUUUAAAAAAUGGGAGAAGAUUUGGAGAGAAAAAUAAGGGCCAGGGACCUUUUUUUCACUUCUGUUAAUAAAAGGUGAAAAAUAUGAGUUAGCUUGUAAUUACUGUAAAAGGCAAGUUUAUCCAUUUUCCACCUUUAAGCAUGUGGCUUAAUUGACGUAGUUUCACUGCUUGUGACAUGGCCGAUUGGUUUGUGGGGAUGGUGGAAAAGAGCGAAUGCAUGGUUUGAGAGAAGAGGGAGAUGACUGGGUUGAAGCUCAACAAUAUUGUGCCUCAUUUCUCAAUAAGUUGGCUGUCCUUGUGGGCUGUAAAAAUUUUCUUUGACUCUUACAGACGAACUUUAGAUUCCCCCCCCCUGGGUUAAUGUACAAUUUGAUUUUUCUAAGUUACUUCAUCUGUAUCUGUCGUCCUGAAAGUGGGAAGGAGUGUACACUCCAGCAAGCGAAAUAGAAAUGGGUAGAAAGGAAGAAUGGAGGCUUUGCUAUUUAUGUUCAAUUUAAAUCGAUUGGCAAAUAAAGUUAUCCUUUCUGCCACUU
Prosopis cineraria is the source of this 1199-nucleotide long non-coding RNA. RefSeq lists it as uncharacterized. The record is from RefSeq and is a predicted model, not a curated record. NCBI's taxonomy places the organism in Eukaryota, Viridiplantae, Streptophyta, Magnoliopsida, Fabales, Fabaceae. The transcript has 5 exons.